UUAUUUUAUUUUAUUUUUUUUGGGCUAUAUUCUGGUUGUUGAUUUAGUAAGUAGAUGGCCAUGAUUUGUGAUUUGUAUGGCAGUAUCCUAAUUAUGUUUUUGAUGUUGCUUUAAAGCAGUAUCCUAAUUAUGGUUGGUUGUAAUGGUGGCUUUUUUUUUAAUUAGUUUUCUAACAAUUUCUGUCAUCGAUCAGGUUAGAAUACACUAAUUCUUGAAGAAAACAGAGAGGCAAAAAGUUAAAAGAGACAAAACAGGAAGGAGGUGGUUCUGAUGGCAAUGAUCAAGAACAAGAAAAUUUGUGAAAGGCUGUUAAUAAUUUGAUGAAAAAACAAAAGUUGCGAGCAGUGAGGCAACUAGUUAAAGGACAGGAUGAUUCA
This 377-nucleotide long non-coding RNA is filed under the name Olea europaea subsp. europaea. Lineage: Eukaryota; Viridiplantae; Streptophyta; Magnoliopsida; Lamiales; Oleaceae. The record is from RNAcentral.